RNAcentral lists this transfer RNA (60 nucleotides) under Curculionoidea sp. 11 KM-2017. RNAcentral's name for it is "tRNA-Arg". Lineage: Eukaryota; Metazoa; Arthropoda; Insecta; Coleoptera. The record is from RNAcentral.
GUAUAAAGCAAAACUUGCAUUUAGUUUCGACCUAAAAAAUUUGAUUUAUUAAUCUAUACU